GCCUUUCGCCUUGAUAACACUGGGAUAUCUACAGGAUCUAAUAUUUGAUAGGUUGGACAGCAGGCAAUAGAGGGAUAGAAUUAUUGUGAGACCUGAAGGGUGGCAGUGAUUUUGGUUCUUCAAAUAAGAAGAAAUACUUAUCCAAUAGAGAUUGAACUUCAGGUGGAUAAGUAUGUAUAGAAAAAAAAUUCAGAAGAUUCAGAAUUUACCUCCUGCUGUUCAGAAAACUGAAUACUAAACAAACGAGUUUGGAAAAAUCUGACCCCUGCUUCUGUAAAAGCCUUUGCCAACUAUCACAAGGAAGCAACUGCAAUGGAGAUGCUGCAUCAUUAAACCCUUGCAAUUCUACAAUCAUCGCAUCCAUCUGAAACCUAACCAAUCUAGCUUCAAAAUCAAACAUGUUGGGAUUAGAGCUUCUCAUCCAAUCAACUCCA
Molecule: unclassified non-coding RNA, 434 nt
Filed under: Hevea brasiliensis (rubber tree)
Lineage: Eukaryota; Viridiplantae; Streptophyta; Magnoliopsida; Malpighiales; Euphorbiaceae
Source: RNAcentral